This 103-nucleotide small nuclear RNA is filed under the name Cercocebus atys (sooty mangabey). Lineage: Eukaryota; Metazoa; Chordata; Mammalia; Primates; Cercopithecidae. The record is from RNAcentral.
UGGCUCACUUCGACAACACAUAAUACAAAAUCAGAAUGUAGAAGAUUCGCAUCGCCCCCUGCCCGAGGACGACACGCCGAAAUUUGAAGCGUUCCACUGUUUU